Molecule: ribosomal RNA, 253 nt
Filed under: uncultured bacterium
Lineage: Bacteria
Description: partial 16S ribosomal RNA
Rfam family: Bacterial small subunit ribosomal RNA
Source: RNAcentral
UACGGAGGGUGCAAGCGUUCUCCGGAUUCACUGGGUUUAAAGGGUGCGUAGGUGGGCAAGUAAGUCAGUGGUGAAAUCUCCGGGCUUAACCCGGAAACUGCCAUUGAUACUAUUUGUCUUGAAUACUGUGGAGGUCAGCGGAAUAUGUCAUGUAGCGGUGAAAUGCUUAGAUAUGACAUAGAACACCAAUUGCGAAGGCAGCUGGCUACACAAAUAUUGACACUGAGGCACGAAAGCGUGGGGAGCAAACAGG